CAAGUCGAGCGGUAACAGGUGUAGCAAUACAUGCUGACGAGCGGCGGACGGGUGAGUAACGCUUGGGAAUCUGCCUGUUAGUGGGGGACAACCCGGGGAAACUCGGGCUAAUACCGCAUACGCACUACGGUGGAAAGCCGGGGACCGCAAGGCCUGGCGCUAACAGAUGAGCCCAAGUCGGAUUAGCUAGUUGGUAGGGUAACGGCCUACCAAGGCGACGAUCCGUAACUGGUCUGAGAGGACGACCAGUCACACCGGAACUGAGACACGGUCCGGACUCCUACGGGAGGCAGCAGUGGGGAAUAUUGGACAAUGGGGGCAACCCUGAUCCAGCGACGCCGCGUGGGUGAAGAAGGCCUGCGGGUUGUAAAGCCCUUUCGGUUGGGAAGAAAAGUUGCGGUUUAAUACAUCGCGACCUUGACGUAACCAACUAAAGAAGCACCGGCUAACUCUGUGCCAGCAGCCGCGGUAAUA
RNAcentral lists this ribosomal RNA (474 nucleotides) under uncultured bacterium. Its description in RNAcentral is "bacterial SSU rRNA". It matches the Rfam family "Bacterial small subunit ribosomal RNA", at positions 58 to 525 of the family's 1533-position model. The record is from RNAcentral.